AACGAACGCUGGCGGCAGGCCUAACACAUGCAAGUCGAACGAACCUUCGGGUGAGUGGCGCACGGGUGAGUAACGCGUGGAAAUAUACACUUAGGUAAGGAAUAACUGCUGGAAACGGUAGCUAAUACCUUAUAAUGACUCCGGUCCAAAGAUUUAUCGCCUAAGAAUUAGUCCGCGUAAGAUUAGAUAGUUGGUGAGGUAAUGGCUCACCAAGUCGACGAUCUUUAGGGGGUCUGAGAGGAUGAUCCCCCACACUGGUACUGAGACACGGACCAGACUCCUACGGGAGGCAGCAGUGAGGAAUAUUGGACAAUGGGGCAACCCUGAUCCAGCCAUGCCGCGUGAGUGAAGAAGGCCCUAGGGUUGUAAAGCUCUUUCAAGUGCGAAGAUAAUGACGGUAACACUAGAAGAAGCUCCGGCUAAAUUUCGUGCCAGCCGCCGCGGUAA
This 447-nucleotide ribosomal RNA is filed under the name uncultured bacterium. RNAcentral describes it as "bacterial SSU rRNA". It matches the Rfam family "Bacterial small subunit ribosomal RNA", at positions 29 to 523 of the family's 1533-position model. The record is from RNAcentral.